UAUAUUACUAAUGUAUCACAAUAUGCAUAAAACGGAACAAAUCUUUCAGAACUUUUAAAUUUAAUUCCUUACCCCAUGGAUUAAAUUAAAAUAAGAUAAGAUAAAACACUAUGCUUUCUCUUUUUUUUACCCGUUCCGUCCCUUUAUAAACCAUUGUUUGCUUCCCAAAUUCCCAUCAUUAACAAAGUAUCUGAUCUUCUUAAUAUUUUCUCUGGACUCAUAUAUAUAUAUAGUCAUCACAAGGCUCUUAUUCUUUCCUAUCAAUCUAUCGUUACACCAAUGGCCAUGCGAAAGAUUUAUGCAUCUCUCCCUGCUGUAGCUGCCGGAGUUGGAUUCUUCUUCUAUAAUGCGAAGGUAAGAAAAAGAUAUCUAUUAUUUAUAUUCAUAUAAAAUGUUAUAUAAUUCCAAAAAGUAACAUCAAAGUUUCUAUGAACGCAGGAACAUGCAAGAAGAAUUUCAGCAUCUAAUCAAGAAACAAUAUCUACAACAAGAGUAGUGGAAGAACAAACCAAGGCCAGUAGGAAACCAAGUGUGGCACCACAGUUUGAUGGUUUGCAUUGUUUUGAAACAUUUGUUAUGAAUUAAAU
Molecule: long non-coding RNA, 587 nt
Filed under: Arachis ipaensis
Lineage: Eukaryota; Viridiplantae; Streptophyta; Magnoliopsida; Fabales; Fabaceae
Description: long non-coding RNA (AIPA_LNC000311)
Source: RNAcentral